This is a long non-coding RNA of Capsicum annuum, 1004 nucleotides long. RefSeq lists it as uncharacterized. The record is from RefSeq and is a predicted model, not a curated record. NCBI's taxonomy places the organism in Eukaryota, Viridiplantae, Streptophyta, Magnoliopsida, Solanales, Solanaceae. The transcript has 2 exons.
CACACGCACCUCACACUCCUCUCACACUUUUGCAUGCACCCAACACCUCCUUCGCCACGUGCCACGUCUGAAUUGGCUGGUCAACAUCCACCUUAAAACCCCAAAAUCUCAUUUACCAUGAAAAGCCUAUUAUGCCCUCACUUUAUUCACUUGAAAUGACCCAACUACCCUUAAGCCCUAUAUUACAUUACACUUUUCCUUCCACUUCCAAAAAGUGUCGUUUUCUCUCCUACUUUCUCUCUCUCGUUCAACAUCUCUUUACCCCUUUCAAGGAAAAUUGUUAGUCUUUCACCAUGGUGGAUAGAGGUUGCUACUCCAUUUUCAUGAUGAAUCCUUUCAAUCACGUGAAGAUCGAAUGGAGACAAAUUCCAACGUUUGAAUUUCAAACGUUCAACUUGAGGAACCCAAUUCCCGCUCAAAGGGAUAACCCUAGAAAUUCUUCUAUAAAUACUUGCGUCUUGGAAUCCAUUUGCAGAGACUUUUGGCAGCCGCAACACCUACAACUCGGGGAGUUAUUACUCUCUUUCUCGCUAAAAUAUAUUUGUUUGCUUUACUUUUUUUGGUCGAGCGAAUUUUCUUUCAUUUGGUCAUCUUUUUGGUCUCGAAAAGGCUCUUUUUAGCCACCUCUUUACUCCAAAACUUUUCAAAUCCACUGUUUGAGUUGUUUUGAGAGUAAGGGAUAGACUCGAGACCUACGCCUCACGUUCACUGCACCAAAACAGAAAUGGAGUCUUAAUUCAAGAAUCUCGUUAAUGAGAUCUCAAAAUGACAAUCAAUGUUGUCCCUCAUCCGAGCAAGAAGUCACAUUUCAUAUUCUUAAAGUCAACGCCACUAGCGGUCUAGUGCAUCAUCCCUUUCUUCAGAUUUUAUUUUCUUAUGUACGCUUGUUAUUGUCUUUCAUUUACGUAUUUUGCACAUUGUUGUUGUUUGAAAUUUGUGUUUUGUUUGCUUGAACUUGAAUUGGUAAAGGUCAUCCAGAUAUAAUUAGCAAAUAUAGUUGUUUC